UCCAGGGACUGUCAUCCUUUUUCUCCUUCUCCAUUACCCAGUCAGCAGUUGGAGUGUCAGCAACCAUCUAUUCAGAAAAAGCUGCCUUUCCUUCACAUAUCCCAGAAAGCCCCAUGUGUAGACAUCAUUUAGCAGUGUAUAUUCAGGAUCCCACUGAAGCAUUUUUGGGAGAUAUGACUCUCAGAUAUUAGAAGCCAGGAAUAAGAAAUUUCAGUGACAGGGAACAUAAAUCAUAUUUCUGCAUUCAGGAUAAUGUUUUCUUGGUACAGGGAUUUCUUCUUCAAGUAAUCAAAAGACAACUGUACCUUCAAACCAUUCAGAAAAAUAUGUUCUAAUUUAGUUCUUUUCAUUCUACAGACUCCAUCAGGAAUCGUUUGGGACCGUGGGUUCUGUUGACACUCACAUUGUGUAAUUAUGUUGCCCACUGCCAACCCUAAAGCCACCAAGGUAGCAGGUUUCAAAUAAUUCAUCAGUGAAUUCUCCUCAACCUGGUCAAUCAUGUGAACUUAGAAGAUGAUUCCUCCCCAGCUGAUCCUCAGGUGAGACCUCAGCCUUGGCCAUCAUCUAUAUCUGGAUUCCUGACCCAGAGAAACUGUGAGUAAUUUGUAUGUGCUUUUGAGCCACUAAGCUACAUGGUAAUUGGCUAUGCUGCAAUAAACAAUAAUACACUUGAUGGUAAACAUAAUAUGUUAUCCUUGAUUAGAUCCAAGAAAAGGAAAAAUGGCAUUAGUGAAAAACCUGGUAAAAUAUAAAGACAGUCAGUACUUUAGUUAAUAGUUUUGUGCCUUUAUCAGUUUCUGAGUUUUCAUAGAUAGUCUAUGGUUAUGUGUAUGAUAUUAAUAUAACAGGAAAUUGAAAGCUAUAUACAACUUUAUGUAAGAUUUUAACAACUCUCUGUUAAUCUAAAAUUAUUUCAAAAUAAAUAGAAGUGUAGACAUGGCUCAUAUAUUUGAGAUCAGGUCUCCCUGUUAACUUAAUUGAGCCUUCAUGGAACUAAAUCUCAUGGUACAAAUGCAGUAAGGUUAUAAAAUAUAAAUCAGAUGAGUUUCUAUUUUACUCUCUUCUUCAGGGAACACUAAGGCCCAUUCUUCCUCUCAAGUAUCCAGAAAUAAAGUUGCUCCAAGUAACAAGUGGACAGCAUAAAAGAUUGUAUGGAAACUAUAAUGCAUCUACAUCUGCAGUAACUAAUCAUAAAAUGAUUUGUAUGAUCAUUCUUCACAUGAUUAGAAUUACUAUGGGAAAGAAGAAAAAGAAA
RNAcentral lists this long non-coding RNA (1255 nucleotides) under Homo sapiens (human). RNAcentral's name for it is "Prader-Willi region non-protein coding RNA 1". Lineage: Eukaryota; Metazoa; Chordata; Mammalia; Primates; Hominidae. The record is from RNAcentral.